This is a long non-coding RNA of Polyodon spathula (Mississippi paddlefish), 4081 nucleotides long. RefSeq lists it as uncharacterized. NCBI's taxonomy places the organism in Eukaryota, Metazoa, Chordata, Actinopteri, Acipenseriformes, Polyodontidae. The record is from RefSeq and is a predicted model, not a curated record. The transcript is spliced from 3 exons.
CUCCAGUAAAAGUACAGAGAAGCAUCUGGUGACUAAACCACUGUCUGCAAUUUGGCACCAAAAUCAAUGGCGAUUGUAAACUAAGUUAAAGUUGUAUGCAAAGACAGAUGGCGGACCCAGCUGUAACUGGACAGCAUUAGAGACUACAUCUACAAAAUCUUAAAUGUCAUGGAUGAAUUUAACUGCGAUUGAUGUAGUGGUAGCCUAAACAUUAAUUUAAAACAACAAAAAAGAUAGAACACACAAGUCAAGGAUCAUUAAUCUUGGUCUGCUGUACUGCAACAACUUUACAAAAUUAUUCCAACAUUGGAUUGUAUCUGGGUCAAUUAAAAACAACCCGAAGUCAUGCAGACACACCUUUUUGCUAGCGCCUACAUCAAAGCACAGAAGGCUGUAGCUGAAAAACUAGCCUGAGUUACCAUAAAACACAGGAAUCAUUAUAUAGCUUGUUUAUAGCCUUUUACAGGGUGGUAAAUUAAAAACCACACCCUCCAUUUAAAUUUUUUUUUUUUUUUUUAAUUUACCCAGCUUUUUGGCAAGUAAACUGCUAGUAAUCUAGCCAAAACCAAGAGCAUGUUAAUAUCUUUCAAAUUCCAAAAGAACCUCUUUGGCACAAGCAAGCAGUGGGAAACUGCAACAGCUGCGUUAGAUUGUAUUAACUGCUCACAGACACAGCUAUGAGAGUCUACAGAAAGUAUGAGCAACAGCAACAUUUGUCCUUUAACAAGUCUGUGUUGGACGACAGUACGAACAGCCAAAACUCUGACUCUUCAGCAGCUUAAAAGCAAGAGUGGCAAUGACAGGAUGAAAGAAAAAAACAAGUUCAAAUCAAAACAGCUUGGAAAACUACUUUUAGCCCUAUAACAAAUCCAGCUGAUCCUUAAAAUGUUUCACCAGCUUUAAAAUGUAAAGCAAGACCCCACCGAUCUCUAGCUAAGCAUCUCUUAAAUCUCUAGAUUUAAGAGAUGCUUUUGGUUCCUACAGCAUAGCCAAAAAACACAUCAUGUGCGCUCUUAAAUAAAACGAACACCCUAGAAGCAAGGUCUAUACACACUCAGUGCAAAUAUCGUAUGUGCUUAAUUAAUCAGAAAUUAUAAACCUACUGUAUUGUUCAAGUAACAGAUUGAUUCUACAUAAUACUCUGACAAGCUGUAAUACAUCAAUGCUCAGGCAUAGGGUACAGCACAAUAUUGUUUUUAAUGCUCAUCUGUAUCGAUUAGCCAUCAAGUAUGGUUCACCAAGGUCACUCCCUCCCUGGGGGUGCUCUGAGUGUUAGGGAACCAGGCAGAAGGACAUAACCAACUGUGUCCGCUGAACAUCCAGACACAGUGGAGAUCAGUUAUCAGAAGGACUCAAAAAGAAAAUAAAUCCACAUUCUAGGUGAAAGAAAAGCCUCAGUCCGCUGACCUGAAUUCCUGGUCAGUCCACAAAUACCAAAUAAUUUUGGGGAUAAGGGAUCAACCCAGUGUUUUUACAACCAACUAAAAGGGUUUACAUAGUCUACUAUGCAGAACUUUAAAUACAAAUCUAUUGCUAAACCAAAAAAAAAAAAAAAGAGUCACAAAAUGUAGAUCCUAUUUCUGAGACUCAAAUAAAAUGCAACUUUUAAUCUAAGAAAUCAAAACAAGCACAAUUUAAUUCGUGAAAUUAGUAGCGAUAUUUCGGGAUCUCCCAUGUACCUAAUCUGUGACUGACAAGUGCCUCUGCAGAAUACAAAGUUAUCAUUACGAUUCAGAAACUGUAUGUCGACCCAAAUGCUUCCUAGGCUUGAAUCAAUUUGAUCGAAACAGACUACACGGCAAAAGCAUUUGUAUGCAGACCAUACAGCCCAAGUGGGACUGAAGACACACCGAGUCCUUGUCACAGUAAAGCUGUUUGCUUUCCUUACUUAGCCAAAGUAAGAACCACACCUUAUGGUGUCGGUAUACUGUACAGAACUGCUGGGUGAUCACCAAAAAUAUGUUGCCAAAGUGUUGUGCAUGUGCUGACCAUAUAACAAUGAUAAAAAGUAGCGAGGCUUAAAUUAACUUACUAGGCCAUAUUAUUACUGCUUGCUUCUCAUCUAUUCUGUAUUUUUAUUUGUUUUUUUUGUUUUUUUUCGCGGUGGUUCUCACGCUAGUAAUAUUUCAGGAAUUAAGAAAUACGACAGACGGCUAAACUAAGGUCACUGAUUAAUCAGCGGCAACACACCUGCAUUUUCCCACCAGAAAUCACCUGGCCUUAGGCCUGCCAUGUUACAGCACGCAUGGACAGUUAUUGCGUACAGUAGGAGACCUUUGGCAAGAACAGAACAAAUUGUACAAAACCCAAGAUUUAGAAACUCUUCAGGAGCACAGUGAUUGGUACCUGCCCAAAGUGGUCUUACCAAACACCAGCUCUGAAGAUGGAUGUAAUAAUGAUGUGGAUGUGUACAAGAUGAGUCUGGGAGUUGCAGCAGAGAUGUGUUCGAUCUGGGGAAGUAACCUCAAUUACAUAAAAUGGCAGGUUUUUGGCUGAUGACAGCCUUUCUUGUAAAAAAAAAAAAAAAAAAGAUAGCAGAGCUCUCAGCCCCAUUUGUCUCCUAGUCCAUUGUAACCCAAUUUGAUCUCACUUCUCACUGUCAGAAUCAGGCUAACUUCAGAAAACAGAACUCCCCACUUCACUUUAAGUUUCAUUAAGUCAGCUACAGGGCAGCUGCAGUUUCUCAGAAUUGCCUGCUGGUGUUCUAAAAUGCCCUACAAUACAUAUUCCCCCAUUCUCUUCAGUUUAGUGUCUAAUACCAGUGUGUCUCCUCAUAGACGCUUCCCAGAUAGAAGUCAUUCCCUCACCACUGUUGCACGGUGAGACAAACUAACCGCAGUUUAUUUUCCUCCCCAAGCCUGCUGGAACGCAAAGGUCAAUUCACGCUCCCGCCGGGUCCCUGGACAAGACUGGAAACUUGGCAGGGCCGGGAUUCUAACCAGCUCCUGAUGGCAUGAAUUACACUGCACUUCAGUCGUGCUCAUUCUGAAUGGGCAACCAGAGAUCAAUCACAUUGCUUUUUUAAGUGGAAACUGAAAAUAACUUGUGUCAUAUUUAUUUGGUGUUUCUUCUUUUUCUAAAACAUUUAAUUAGCCAUGGGGUCUGUGCUUAUACCUUUUAAGUAUGUAGCCACUGUUAUAAAUAGAACUGUGAGAAAGACGGAAAGUGACGCAUAGCCAGGUGACUUUCCCAAAGUGAGUGGCUCAGUUAGUCAAGCCCGGACUGGAACUGCAAAAUGAAAUCCCACCUGUUAACCAGAGUCACCCAACCUCCACUCUUCGUUCAAAACACUAAACAUGAAUUGCUGUAUGGUUGCAUCUGCUGUAUUCCCAUAUAUGAUGACCUUUUAAAGUAAGAUGUUAUAAUUAAAUAGGACUUACCUAGGUACAGUGUGUUUGGAAUGGUAUGAUCUGGUCCCUGUUUAAAAGCAAUAUCUACAAAGUGAAAUGCUAUGCAGUGGCUGAAAAAAUACAUGAGUAUAUAGAACACAUGUAAUAAAUUUAAUUCAAAAUCAAUACGUCUGCAUUGAUAGAUGCUCUUAUAGACCCUCUGCAUCAUGAUUAUGGAUAUAUGAUUUCACUUUGCACCCAUAAAGUGGGGUUCAGCAUUGUUUUUGAGGAGCUAAAAAUGUCCAAUUUAAAAAUCAGUUCUGUGGAACUUACCAAAUUACUGAAACCCUGGAAAAUCUGUACUUUUGAGGGAAGCUGGAACAUCCUGGAUAUCCAUUACAGUGAUUUAGGAGUGGAGGGAACUGCUAGAAGUCUGAGCACUGCAAAGAGGUUAAACAGAUGCACCUUUCAGAAUUUAGAGCAGACGUUAUAAAGGCAAAAGGACAAGAAUGGGAGCAGUGCCAAUAUGCAAGCAGGUGGAACUGUAACGCUGAACCAUUUACACUGAAUAAACAAGGCAGUAAGUGCUUAUGUGGCAGUCAUUAGUCAUUUAAGGCUAGGAUUUGGAUAAUGAAAUAAUAUGAAACGACUUGAUAAUAUCUUACAACAAUAGCAUUGUAAUUAUUGCAUCCAUAAGUAUAACAAUCAAUGGGUGUAUAUUUUAGAAAUACUAAAAUAAACCAUGUAAAUUC